CGGGGUGUAGCUCAGAUGGCUAGAGUACUGCGUUUGGGACGCAGGGGUCGUGAGUUCGAGUCUCACCACCCCGACAA
RNAcentral lists this transfer RNA (77 nucleotides) under Candidatus Collierbacteria bacterium RIFOXYA2_FULL_46_20. RNAcentral's name for it is "tRNA-Pro". It matches the Rfam family "tRNA". From Rfam's summary of the family: Transfer RNA (tRNA) molecules are approximately 80 nucleotides in length. Their secondary structure includes four short double-helical elements and three loops (D, anti-codon, and T loops). RNAcentral also lists the same sequence under 5 other names. The record is from RNAcentral. Lineage: Bacteria; Candidatus Collieribacteriota.